This 376-nucleotide ribosomal RNA is filed under the name Babesia microti. Its description in RNAcentral is "SSU rRNA". It matches the Rfam family "Eukaryotic small subunit ribosomal RNA", at positions 462 to 863 of the family's 1831-position model. Lineage: Eukaryota; Apicomplexa; Aconoidasida; Piroplasmida; Babesiidae. The record is from RNAcentral.
GAGUAGUGACAAGAAAUAACAAUACAGGGCUUAAAGUCUUGUAAUUGGAAUGAUGGGAAUCUAAACCCUUCCCAGAGUAUCAAUUGGAGGGCAAGUCUGGUGCCAGCAGCCGCGGUAAUUCCAGCUCCAAUAGCGUAUAUUAAAGUUGUUGCAGUUAAGAAGCUCGUAGUUGAAUUUCUGCCUUGUCAUUAAUCUCGCUUCCGAGCGUUUUUUUAUUGACUUGGCAUCUUCUGGAUUUGGUGCCUUCGGGUACUAUUUUCCAGGAUUUACUUUGAGAAAACUAGAGUGUUUCAAACAGGCAUUCGCCUUGAAUACUACAGCAUGGAAUAAUGAAGUAGGACUUUGGUUCUAUUUUGUUGGUUAUUGAGCCAGAGUA